UGAGGAAUAUUGGUCAAUGGGCGAGAGCCUGAACCAGCCAAGUCGCGUGAGGGAGUACUGCCCUAUGGGUUGUAAACCUCUUUUGUCGGGGAGCAAAAGCCGGACGUGUCCGUCUGUGAGAGUACCCGAAAGAAAAAGCAUCGGCUAACUCCGUGCC
Molecule: ribosomal RNA, 157 nt
Filed under: uncultured bacterium
Lineage: Bacteria
Description: partial 16S ribosomal RNA
Rfam family: Bacterial small subunit ribosomal RNA
Source: RNAcentral